GUGAGUCAUCGAAUCUUUGAACGCACCUUGCGCUCCUUGGUAUUCCGAGGAGCAUGCCUGUUUGAGUGUCAUUAAAUUCUCAACCUUCCAGCUUUUAUUAGCUUGGUUAGGCUUGGAUGUGGGGGUUGUGGGCUUCAUUAAUGAGGUCAGCUCUCCUUAAAUGCAUUAGCGGAACUUUUGUGGACCGUCUAUUGGUGUGAUAAUUAUCUACGCCGUGGAUGUGAAGCAGCUUUAUGAAGUUCAGCUUCUAAUCGUCCAUUGACUUGGACAAUUUUUGACAAUUUGACCUCAAAUCAGGUAGGACUACCCGCUGAACUUAAGCAUAUCAAUAAGCGGAGG
This 339-nucleotide ribosomal RNA is filed under the name uncultured Laccaria. Its description in RNAcentral is "eukaryotic LSU rRNA". The stretch from base 1 to 71 matches the Rfam family "5.8S ribosomal RNA", at positions 84 to 154 of the family's 154-position model. Lineage: Eukaryota; Fungi; Basidiomycota; Agaricomycetes; Agaricales; Tricholomataceae. The record is from RNAcentral.